RNAcentral lists this ribosomal RNA (253 nucleotides) under uncultured bacterium. Its description in RNAcentral is "partial 16S ribosomal RNA". It matches the Rfam family "Bacterial small subunit ribosomal RNA", at positions 524 to 776 of the family's 1533-position model. The record is from RNAcentral.
UACGGAGGGUGCGAGCGUUAAUCGGAAUUACUGGGCGUAAAGCGUACGCAGGCGGUUUGUUAAGCUAGAUGUGAAAGCCCCGGGCUCAACCUGGGAUGGUCAUUUAGAACUGGCAGACUAGAGUCUUGGAGAGGGGAGUGGAAUUCCAGGUGUAGCGGUGAAAUGCGUAGAUAUCUGGAGGAACAUCAGUGGCGAAGGCGACUCCCUGGCCAAAGACUGACGCUAAUGUGCGAAAGUGUGGGUAGCGAACAGG